Molecule: ribosomal RNA, 401 nt
Filed under: uncultured Pseudomonas sp.
Lineage: Bacteria; Pseudomonadati; Pseudomonadota; Gammaproteobacteria; Pseudomonadales; Pseudomonadaceae
Description: bacterial SSU rRNA
Rfam family: Bacterial small subunit ribosomal RNA
Source: RNAcentral
ACAUGCAGAGAACUUUCCAGAGAUGGAUUGGUGGCCUUCGGGAACUCUGACACAGGUGCUGCAUGGCUGUCGUCAGCUCGUGUCGUGAGAUGUUGGGUUAAGUCCGUAACGAGCGCAACCCUUGUCCUUAGUUACCAGCACGUUAUGGUGGGCGACCCUAAGGAGACUGCCGGUGACAAACCGGAGGAAGGUGGGGGAUGACGUCAAGUCAUCAUGGCCCUUACGGCCUGGGCUACACACGUGCUACAAUGGUCGGUACAAAGGGUUGCCAAGCCGCGAGGUGGAGCUAAUCCCAUAAAACCGAUCGUAGUCCGGAUCGCAGUCUGCAACUCGACUGCGUGAAGUCGGAAUCGCUAGUAAUCGUGAAUCAGAAUGUCACGGUGAAUACGUUCCCGGGCCUU